AAAGGCGAGAAGGAAGGGGAAGGGCAGAAUUCCGUGAAUCAUCGAAUCUUGGAACGCACAUUGCGCCCUCUGGCAUUCCGGGGGGGAUGCCUGUCCGAGCGUCAUUACGCACCCUCAAGCCCGGCGUGUGUGAUGGGCCCCGGCGUCUCGUUCGCGAGACGGGCCCGAAAGGCAGCGGCGGCGUCGACCCGAUGAGCCCGAGCGUAUGGGGACUUCUGUCACACGUUCGCGGUGCGGACCGGCGCCUGCUUGACUUUUCUGAUUAUCCAGGUUGACCUCGGAUCAGGUAGGGAUACCCGCUGAACUUAAGC
RNAcentral lists this unclassified non-coding RNA (311 nucleotides) under plant metagenome. Its description in RNAcentral is "partial contains 5.8S ribosomal RNA, internal transcribed spacer 2, and large subunit ribosomal RNA". The stretch from base 1 to 104 matches the Rfam family "5.8S ribosomal RNA", at positions 51 to 154 of the family's 154-position model. The record is from RNAcentral.